CCUUGAUGGAUUGACCCCUGUAACAUGAAAUUCCAGGGUGACCAACCAUCCCAGUUUUCCAAGGUCACUGGGACACAAGACUUUCAAUCCUAAAACCAAAAAAGUCCCAGAUAUGCAGGAAUGAGACAGUCACCCUACUCAUUCAAGGUUCUUUAAGGUUUUGCUUUGAAGAAAUAACCUUGUAAUUCAAGGGCAUUGUAUUUCUCUGAACAACAGCACCACGUAUCACACAGAUUUCAUUGGAAAACAGACUUACAUAUAUAUGGAACAUGUAUCCUUCCAUUUUGGUGUUAGAACAUGACAAGGAAAGAACUAAAGACGGAAAGCUCGUGGGGUUAGAGGCACCAUACUCAAUCCACUCUUAAAUCUGUUAGAUCGUCACCAUCAAGGUUUGAUGCUCAUAAUGCAAGAAGGAGUCAUUUAAUAAGAGACUGAAAUAAGCAUUUGCUAACAAUGAAGUCAUUAUUUUAAUGAAACCUGAUCAACUUUCCUGAAUAAUUUGGGAUUUUUUAAACAACAUAUUUCAAGGAGAAAAAAAAAGGAAAGACCAUACUUUUGGCAGAAAUGAAAAAUGGUUACUAUGGCAGCUUGAUUUGGACAUGGAAAACCUGUUUCAAGCUAUUCAUAAACCCAACUCUUGCAAACUAUUUAUU
This is a long non-coding RNA of Choloepus didactylus (southern two-toed sloth), 653 nucleotides long. RefSeq lists it as uncharacterized. The record is from RefSeq and is a predicted model, not a curated record. The transcript is spliced from 6 exons. NCBI's taxonomy places the organism in Eukaryota, Metazoa, Chordata, Mammalia, Pilosa, Megalonychidae.